AAAUUGAAGAGUUUGAUCAUGGCUCAGAUUGAACGCUGGCGGCAGGCCUAACACAUGCAAGUCGAACGGUAACAGGAAGCAGCUUGCUGCUUUGCUGACGAGUGGCGGACGGGUGAGUAAUGUCUGGGAAACUGCCUGAUGGAGGGGGAUAACUACUGGAAACGGUAGCUAAUACCGCAUAACGUCGCAAGACCAAAGAGGGGGACCUUCGGGCCUCUUGCCAUCGGAUGUGCCCAGAUGGGAUUAGCUUGUUGGUGGGGUAACGGCUCACCAAGGCGACGAUCCCUAGCUGGUCUGAGAGGAUGACCAGCCACACUGGAACUGAGACACGGUCCAGACUCCUACGGGAGGCAGCAGUGGGGAAUAUUGCACAAUGGGCGCAAGCCUGAUGCAGCCAUGCCGCGUGUAUGAAGAAGGCCUUCGGGUUGUAAAGUACUUUCAGCGGGGAGGAAGGGAGUAAAGUUAAUACCUUUGCUCAUUGACGUUACCCGCAGAAGAAGCACCGGCUAACUCCGUGCCAGCAGCCGCGGUAAUACGGAGGGUGCAAGCGUUAAUCGGAAUUACUGGGCGUAAAGCGCACGCAGGCGGUUUGUUAAGUCAGAUGUGAAAUCCCCGGGCUCAACCUGGGAACUGCAUCUGAUACUGGCAAGCUUGAGUCUCGUAGAGGGGGGUAGAAUUCCAGGUGUAGCGGUGAAAUGCGUAGAGAUCUGGAGGAAUACCGGUGGCGAAGGCGGCCCCCUGGACGAAGACUGACGCUCAGGUGCGAAAGCGUGGGGAGCAAACAGGAUUAGAUACCCUGGUAGUCCACGCCGUAAACGAUGUCGACUUGGAGGUUGUGCCCUUGAGGCGUGGCUUCCGGAGCUAACGCGUUAAGUCGACCGCCUGGGGAGUACGGCCGCAAGGUUAAAACUCAAAUGAAUUGACGGGGGCCCGCACAAGCGGUGGAGCAUGUGGUUUAAUUCGAUGCAACGCGAAGAACCUUACCUGGUCUUGACAUCCACAGAACUUUCCAGAGAUGGAUUGGUGCCUUCGGGAACUGUGAGACAGGUGCUGCAUGGCUGUCGUCAGCUCGUGU
This 1075-nucleotide ribosomal RNA is filed under the name Escherichia coli. RNAcentral describes it as "bacterial SSU rRNA". It matches the Rfam family "Bacterial small subunit ribosomal RNA", at positions 1 to 1065 of the family's 1533-position model. Lineage: Bacteria; Pseudomonadati; Pseudomonadota; Gammaproteobacteria; Enterobacterales; Enterobacteriaceae. The record is from RNAcentral.